UACGGGGGGGGCAAGCGUUGUUCGGAAUUACUGGGCGUAAAGGGCUCGUAGGCGGCCAACUAAGUCAGACGUGAAAUCCCUCGGCUUAACCGGGGAACUGCGUCUGAUACUGGUUGGCUUGAGUGUGGGAGAGGGAUGCGGAAUUCCAGGUGUAGCGGUGAAAUGCGUAGAUAUCUGGAGGAACACCGGUGGCGAAGGCGGCAUCCUGGACCAUUACUGACGCUGAGGAGCGAAAGCCAGGGGGAGCAAACGGGG
This 255-nucleotide ribosomal RNA is filed under the name uncultured bacterium. RNAcentral describes it as "partial 16S ribosomal RNA". It matches the Rfam family "Bacterial small subunit ribosomal RNA", at positions 524 to 777 of the family's 1533-position model. The record is from RNAcentral.